GGCAUUUCUUACCUUGAGAGGUUAUUGAGAGAGUUCAGUAAGAGAUGGCGUGUGAAAUCAUUGCUGAUUAUUUGUGUUAAUUCUUCGAAGGCAAGCGCUGCUCCAUACCCUGAGCAUAGGGAAAGGGCCAACUUAGCUCCUGAUCCCGCAGAGGUUCCAGUCUGAGUCGCUGGAAUGGGAAGAGAACAGCGGACCCCAGGAGGUUGGGGUUGACCCUGAGCGGAGAGGAAGGACGAAAGGUAAUCUGUAGUCCUAAUGAACGCGAAAUGGGACCUGGCACAAUUCGAAGAGGUCGCAUCGACGAUUGAAAACGAGCGAGCGGUUUUGCCCACUGGUUGCUAUCUAAAGAAUUCUUCCAGUUCGGCAGCCCCGCAUGGGGGCAAGGGGUGACACACAGAGAGAGAAGGGUCCACGGAUUCCCAAGGUGCCCCGGAUCCAGGGUGCUGAGAUGCAAAGAGGAGAGGUUGAGUGGGGUGGAAUGGAAGGAGGGAAAGAGCUGGAGCUAAGGUGAGGGCAGGGUGGGGCCAGGGGAGAAUGAAAACCCAGCCUGUUGGUGGUUUCUUCUUUUUUUUUUUUAAGAGCCACAAGCUGAGAUCAAAGGUGAUAUUUUUACAGCAACUGAAAUAGAAAACCACUGGGCACACAGUGGGAGGUGAGCAGCCGGCACACAGGCCCCUCUCUGCAGCCUGUGGCCACAGCAAGCACGCCGCCCUCUGCCAUGGGGUGUGGGGGACAGUGUGGUGGGGAUCUUCCCAAUUCAGGUUCAAAGAAGAUGUGAAGGGGAUGAGCCACAACCCUUGGUGCUGAGAGAGGAGAGAGAGAGCCAUGAAGGAUCACUAGUCCAACAUCCUUUCUGUUCUGUGCACCCACUCACCUGCUCACUCACCGAAUCAUGUGUGGAACUAGCUGGCCCCCGCAUACCAGGAGCCAUACUCAGGCCCACCAGAGCAGUGGUUCUCUGAGUGUGGGCCCCACACCAGCAGCGUCAGCAUGACCUGGAACAUGCUAGAAAUGCACAUUCUCAGGCCCCAACCCAGACGUACUGCUCCAGAAACUCUGGGGUGGGCCCAGCCCUCAGGGUUUUAACAAACUCUCCAGAUGACUCUGCACACUCAGUUGGAGAAUCACUGUGCUGCAUGACUUCAGUUUCCACAUUGCUGCUUUGGGGAAAAUAACACGUGUCUCACAAGGUUGAGCCCAGUAUUAGCUAACACAUGUGCUAGAUGCGCCACCUGUGCCAGAUAUCCUUCUAAUCCCUUUAUAACACACCUAACUCCUCACCGACUCUGAGAUAGGAACUAAUAUUAUCUUCAUUUAUUUCCUGAGAUGAGGAAAUGCAGGCACAGAGAGGCACAGUAACUUGGCCAGGGUCACACAGCUAGUAGGCAACAGAGCUUUGGAAUCUACGGUUUUUAAAGCUCCCCAACAAAAAGCCUCCAGCAGUGAGUCUGGCUCCCAGAAUGUGUUCUGGGCAUGGUUGAGAAUGUGAUGAUGGCAGUUAGCAUUACCUCACCUGAACUUGCGAUGAUGAUCCCCGUUUUGUAGAUGUGAAAUCUGCUGCCUUGUCAAGAUCAGGGAGUGAGUCAGCUGCAGAGGCAGCCUGAGGGUCUGAAACCCAUGUGGCCACAGGCCCUCACCAUUCACAAAGCUUGGAGAUCACAAUAUAGCAUUCUGGUCUUCUAGAAACAUCCCAGCGUGUUGCAGGUGGAAUGUGGGC
Macaca mulatta (Rhesus monkey) is the source of this 1717-nucleotide non-coding RNA. Lineage: Eukaryota; Metazoa; Chordata; Mammalia; Primates; Cercopithecidae. The record is from RefSeq and is a predicted model, not a curated record.